This 71-nucleotide transfer RNA is filed under the name Loxodonta africana (African savanna elephant). It matches the Rfam family "tRNA". Rfam says of the family: Transfer RNA (tRNA) molecules are approximately 80 nucleotides in length. The record is from Rfam by way of RNAcentral. Lineage: Eukaryota; Metazoa; Chordata; Mammalia; Proboscidea; Elephantidae.
GCAUUGGUGGUUCAGUGGUAGAGUCAUCUCCUUCCAUGAGGGAAACCCAGGUUUGAUUCCCAGCCAAUGCA